GGGUUGUGAGGUUAAGCGACUAAGCGUACACGGUGGAUGCCCUGGCAGUCAGAGGCGAUGAAGGACGUGCUAAUCUGCGAUAAGCGCCGGUAAGGUGAUAUGAACCGUUAUAACCGGCGAUUUCCGAAUGGGGAAACCCAGUGUGACUCGUCACACUAUCAUUAACUGAAUCCAUAGGUUAAUGAGGCGAACCGGGGGAACUGAAACAUCUAAGUACCCCGAGGAAAAGAAAUCAACCGAGAUUCCCCCAGUAGCGGCGAGCGAACGGGGAGGAGCCCAGAGCCUGAAUCAGCAUAUGUGUUAGUGGAAGCGUCUGGAAAGGCGCGCGAUACAGGGUGACAGCCCCGUACACAAAAGCGCAUGUGCUGUGAGCUCGAUGAGUAGGGCGGGACACGUGGUAUCCUGUCUGAAUAUGGGGGGACCAUCCUCCAAGGCUAAAUACUCCUGACUGACCGAUAGUGAACCAGUACCGUGAGGGAAAGGCGAAAAGAACCCCGGCGAGGGGAGUGAAAAAGAACCUGAAACCGUGUACGUACAAGCAGUGGGAGC
This 549-nucleotide ribosomal RNA is filed under the name Salmonella enterica subsp. enterica serovar Give. RNAcentral describes it as "bacterial LSU rRNA". It matches the Rfam family "Bacterial large subunit ribosomal RNA", at positions 1 to 580 of the family's 2925-position model. Lineage: Bacteria; Pseudomonadati; Pseudomonadota; Gammaproteobacteria; Enterobacterales; Enterobacteriaceae. The record is from RNAcentral.